This 95-nucleotide transfer RNA is filed under the name Morganella morganii. Its description in RNAcentral is "tRNA-Sec". It matches the Rfam family "Selenocysteine transfer RNA". Lineage: Bacteria; Pseudomonadati; Pseudomonadota; Gammaproteobacteria; Enterobacterales; Morganellaceae. The record is from RNAcentral.
GGAAGAUCAUCGUCCCCGGUGGGGCGGCCGGACUUCAAAUCCGGUUGGGGCCGCCAGCGGUCCCAGGCAGGUUCGACUCCUGUGAUCUUCCGCCA